UGAAUACGAGACGCUAAGGCGUCGAAGUAGUGUAUGUCAUACUUCCAAGAAAAGCUUGCACUGUCAUAAGUAAAAAAUGCCUGUACCAUAACCGACACAGGUGGGUAGGUAGAGUAUACUAAGGGGCGCGAGAUAACUCUCUCUAAGGAACUCGGCAAAAUAACUCCGUAACUUCGGGAGAAGGAGUACCUUAUUCUAUAAGGUUGCAAUAACAAGAUCCAAGCAACUGUUUAUCAAAAACACAGGUCUCCGCUAAGUCGUAAGACGAUGUAUGGGGGCUGACGCCUGCCCAGUGCCAGAAGGUUAAAGAAGUCGGUUAGCAUUAGCGAAGCUGGUAACUGAAGCCCUGGUGAACGGCGGCCGUAACUAUAACGGUCCUAAGGUAGCGAAAUUCCUUGUCGGGUAAGUUCCGACCCGCACGAAAGGCGUAAUGAUUUGGAUACUGUCUCGGAGAGGGGCUCGGUGAAAUAGACUUGUCUGUGAAGAUGCGGACUACCUGCACCAGGACAGAAAGACCCUAUGAAGCUUUACUGUAACUUGAAAUUGAAAUUGGACUUUAUUCGCGCAGUAUAGGUGGGAGGUGUUGAUUAUAAUCUUGCGGGAUUAUUGGAGCCAUCAGUGAGAUACCACUCUUGUAAUGUUAGAUUUCUAACUUUGAAUCAUUAUCUGGUCAAAGGACAGUUUCAGGCGGGCAGUUUGACUGGGGCGGUCGCCUCCCAAACGGUAACGGAGGCGUACAAAGGUUUCCUCUGAACGGGUAGAAAUCGUAUCUAGAGUGUAAAGGCAUAAGGAAGCUUGACUGUGAGACCUACAAGUCGAACAGGGACGAAAGUCGGUCUUAGUGAUCUGACGGUACUGAGUGGAAAGGCCGUCACUCAACGGAUAAGUUACUCUAGGAUAACAGGCUGAUCUCCCCCAAGAGUUCACAUCGACGGGGAGGUUUGGCACCUCGAUGUCGGCUCAUCGCAUCCUGGGGCGGUAGUACGUCCCAAGGGUUGGGCUGUUCGCCCAUGAAAGCGGUACGCGAGCUGGGUUCAGAACGUCGUGAGACAGUUCGGUCCAUAUCCGGUGUAGGCGUUAGAAUAUUGAGAGGAGCCUUCUUUAGUACGAGAGGACCGAGAAGGACAUACCUCUGGUGUACCAGUUAUCGUGCCAACGGUAAACGCUGGGUAGCUAUGUAUGGAGUGGAUAACCGCUGAAAGCAUCUAAGUGGGAAGCCCACCUCAAGAUAAGUAUUC
RNAcentral lists this ribosomal RNA (1238 nucleotides) under metagenome. RNAcentral describes it as "bacterial LSU rRNA". It matches the Rfam family "Bacterial large subunit ribosomal RNA", at positions 1564 to 2813 of the family's 2925-position model. The record is from RNAcentral.